GACGAACGCUGGCGGCGUGCCUAAUACAUGCAAGUAGAACGCUGAAGAGAGGAGCUUGCUCUUCUUGGAUGAGUUGCGAACGGGUGAGUAACGCGUAGGUAACCUGCCUUGUAGCGGGGGAUAACUAUUGGAAACGAUAGCUAAUACCGCAUAACAAUGGAUGACACAUGUCAUUUAUUUGAAAGGGGCAAUUGCUCCACUACAAGAUGGACCUGCGUUGUAUUAGCUAGUAGGUGAGGUAAUGGCUCACCUAGGCGACGAUACAUAGCCGACCUGAGAGGGUGAUCGGCCACACUGGGACUGAGACACGGCCCAGACUCCUACGGGAGGCAGCAGUAGGGAAUCUUCGGCAACGGGGGCAACCCUGACCGAGCAACGCCGCGUGAGUGAAGAAGGUUUUCGGAUCGUAAAGCUCUGUUGUAAGUCAAGAACGGGUGUGAGAGUGGAAAGUUCACACUGUGACGGUAGCUUACCAGAAAGGGACGGCUAACUACGUG
RNAcentral lists this ribosomal RNA (497 nucleotides) under uncultured bacterium. RNAcentral describes it as "partial 16S ribosomal RNA". It matches the Rfam family "Bacterial small subunit ribosomal RNA", at positions 28 to 507 of the family's 1533-position model. The record is from RNAcentral.